Molecule: ribosomal RNA, 292 nt
Filed under: uncultured bacterium
Lineage: Bacteria
Description: partial 16S ribosomal RNA
Rfam family: Bacterial small subunit ribosomal RNA
Source: RNAcentral
GUGUCAGCCGCCGCGGUAAUACAGAGACUGCGAGCGUUAUUCGGAUUCACUGGGCGUAAAGGGUGCGCAGGCGGCCAAGUGUGUGAGGCGUGAAAGCCCGGGGCUUAACCCCGGAAUUGCACCUCAAACUACAUGGCUAGAGCAUUGGAGAGGGAAGCGGAAUUCACGGUGUAGCAGUGAAAUGCGUAGAUAUCGUGAGGAACACCAGAGGCGAAGGCGGCUUCCUGGACAAUUGCUGACGCUCAGGCACGAAAGCGUGGGGAGCAAAAGGGAUUAGAAACCCCUGUAGUCC